This 497-nucleotide ribosomal RNA is filed under the name uncultured bacterium. RNAcentral describes it as "partial 16S ribosomal RNA". It matches the Rfam family "Bacterial small subunit ribosomal RNA", at positions 28 to 507 of the family's 1533-position model. The record is from RNAcentral.
GAUGAACGCUGGCGGCGUGCCUAAUACAUGCCAGUCGAGCGAACAGACGAGGAGCUUGCUCCUCUGACGUUAGCGGCGGACGGGUGAGUAACACGUGGAUAACCUACCUAUAAGACUGGGAUAACUUCGGGAAACCGGAGCUAAUACCGGAUAAUAUAUUGAACCGCAUGGUUCAAUAGUGAAAGACGGUUUUGCUGUCACUUAUAGAUGGAUCCGCGCCGCAUUAGCUAGUUGGUAAGGUAACGGCUUACCAAGGCAACGAUGCGUAGCCGACCUGAGAGGGUGAUCGGCCACACUGGAACUGAGACACGGUCCAGACUCCUACGGGAGGCAGCAGUAGGGGAUCUUCCGCAAUGGGCGAAAGCCUGACGGAGCAACGCCGCGUGAGUGAUGAAGGUCUUCGGAUCGUAAAACUCUGUUAUUAGGGAAGAACAAAUGUGUAAGUAACUAUGCACGUCUUGACGGUACCUAAUCAGAAAGCCACGGCUAACUACGUG